Molecule: non-coding RNA, 383 nt
Organism: Leptonychotes weddellii (Weddell seal)
Lineage: Eukaryota; Metazoa; Chordata; Mammalia; Carnivora; Phocidae
Source: RefSeq, a predicted model, not a curated record
GUAUCUACGGCAGGGGACUGCCCCGCGCGGGCCCCGGUCCCCCGGAGCCGCGGCCUGGUGUUCCAGCGCACAUAUCCCGGUGACCUUGGAAAGCCCAGGGCGGGGGAGCCGUGCGGGAACUGACCGCCUCUACCCCCCACCCCGGGGCUGCUAUUCCGGGCGCCGCGCUCAGGGCCAGGGAAUGUGCGAGAACCGAGGUGGCCCUGCCAUGGUUCCGGGAGUCCGGGACGCUGCCUCCUUUCCACCGACGCCCAGAUCGCGUCCCCGCGAGGGUCCCCUUUCCCGGAUCUCAUCCACGAUCUCCCGUGACAUUGAGCUACUUUUCUCAUAAUUGGUAAAAAGACCCAAGCAGAUGAAAUAGAGAUUAUUCAUGUGGAAAUCUG